GUGAAUCAUCGAAUUUUUGAACGCAAAUUGCACUCUCUUCGGAGAGUAUGCCUGUUUGAGGGUCAGCCUAAAAAAAAAAAUCGACAUAGUCGCUGUUUCGCGGUGACAUUCUUCGGAAAUUGGGUCAUUUUUAACCUUUGUGUUUUAAGCGGUUUAAAAUUUUUUUUUCGAUUCCACGCACAUUUCUAAGAUUUAUUUCUUAUACGUUUAAGGUAA
Molecule: unclassified non-coding RNA, 216 nt
Filed under: Glomus sp.
Lineage: Eukaryota; Fungi; Glomeromycota; Glomeromycetes; Glomerales; Glomeraceae
Description: partial contains 5.8S ribosomal RNA and internal transcribed spacer 2
Rfam family: 5.8S ribosomal RNA (bases 1-65)
Source: RNAcentral